CACACUGGGACUGAGACACGGCCCAGACUCCUACGGGAGGCAGCAGCAGGGAAUAUUGCGCAAUGGGCGAAAGCCUGACGCAGCAACGCCGCGUGGGGGAUGAAGGCCCUCGGGUUGUAAACCCCUUUCGACAGGAACGAAUCUGACGGUACCUGAAGAAGAAGCCCCGGCCAACUACGUGCCAGCCGCCGCAGUAAUAC
Molecule: ribosomal RNA, 200 nt
Filed under: uncultured bacterium
Lineage: Bacteria
Description: partial 16S ribosomal RNA
Rfam family: Bacterial small subunit ribosomal RNA
Source: RNAcentral